AGAAUGAAUGCACUUGAGCUGAUUUAAGCAUCUUCCAUUGUCAGGAGAUUUCUGGUUACAUCUGUGUUUGGAGCAUGAAGACCAUAAUGGUCACUCCUGCACUGAUUCUAGCAUUCUACUGUGGCCUCAAACUCAGUUGUCUUAGGAACAUGGAGACCAGUAAUGUCUUCUCAUGGUUAAACGUCAUGGCUGGGGAGUCUCUGGAAUGGACAUGAGUGGAUAAUCAUUUUGUAAUUAUCAAGACCUUCAUGGUUCAAUGUGAGUAAUGGUCAAGUUCUUGUCUUCG
Long non-coding RNA from Globicephala melas (long-finned pilot whale), 286 nucleotides. RefSeq lists it as uncharacterized. Lineage: Eukaryota; Metazoa; Chordata; Mammalia; Artiodactyla; Delphinidae. The record is from RefSeq and is a predicted model, not a curated record.